CCUACGGGUGGCAGCAGUGAGGAAUAUUGGUCAAUGGACGAGAGUCUGAACCAGCCAAGUAGCGUGAAGGAUGACUGCCCUAUGGGUUGUAAACUUCUUUUAUAUGGGAAUAAAAUGUUCCACGUGUGGGAUUUUGUAUGUACCAUAUGAAUAAGGAUCGGCUAACUCCGUGCCAGCAGCCGCGGUAAUACGGAGGAUCCGAGCGUUAUCCGGAUUUAUUGGGUUUAAAGGGCGCGUAGGUGGAUUGUUAAGUCAGUUGUGAAAGUGUGCGGCUCAAGCGUAAAAUUGCAGUUGAAACUGGCAGUCUGGAGUACAGUAGAGGUGGGCGGGAUGCGUGGUGUAGCGGUGAAAUGCUUAGAUAUCACGAAGAACUCCGAUUGCGAAGGCAGCUCACUGGACUGCAACUGACACUGAGGCUCGAAAGUGUGGGUAUCAAACAGGAUUAGAUACCCGAGUAGUC
RNAcentral lists this ribosomal RNA (460 nucleotides) under uncultured bacterium. RNAcentral's name for it is "partial 16S ribosomal RNA". It matches the Rfam family "Bacterial small subunit ribosomal RNA", at positions 338 to 795 of the family's 1533-position model. The record is from RNAcentral.